GCUAGUAAUGGCAGGUCAGCAUACUGCCGUGAAUACGUUCCCGGGCCCUUGUACACACCGCCCGUCACACCAUGAGAGUUGGAAAUACCCGAAGCCUGUGAGCUAACAGUAAUGAGGCAGCAGUCGAAGGUAGAGCCAAUGAUUGGGGUGAAGUCGUAACAAGGUAAC
RNAcentral lists this ribosomal RNA (168 nucleotides) under uncultured bacterium. Its description in RNAcentral is "partial 16S ribosomal RNA". It matches the Rfam family "Bacterial small subunit ribosomal RNA", at positions 1334 to 1500 of the family's 1533-position model. The record is from RNAcentral.